This 1151-nucleotide ribosomal RNA is filed under the name Caldimonas manganoxidans. RNAcentral describes it as "bacterial SSU rRNA". It matches the Rfam family "Bacterial small subunit ribosomal RNA", at positions 45 to 1157 of the family's 1533-position model. Lineage: Bacteria; Pseudomonadati; Pseudomonadota; Betaproteobacteria; Burkholderiales; Sphaerotilaceae. The record is from RNAcentral.
GGGGCAAUCCAUGCAGUCGCACGGCAGCGGGUCCUUCGGGAUGCCGGCGAGUGGCGAACGGGUGAGUAAUGCAUCGGAACGUACCCAGUCGUGGGGGAUAACUACUCGAAAGAGUAGCUAAUACCGCAUACGACCUGAGGGUGAAAGCGGGGGACCGCAAGGCCUCGCGCGAUUGGAGCGGCCGAUGUCGGAUUAGCUAGUUGGUGGGGUAAAGGCUUACCAAGGCGACGAUCCGUAACUGGUCUGAGAGGACGGCCAGCCACACUGGGACUGAGACACGGCCCAGACUCCUACGGGAGGCAGCAGUGGGGAAUUUUGGACAAUGGGCGCAAGCCUGAUCCAGCCAUGCCGCGUGCGGGAAGAAGGCCUUCGGGUUGUAAACUACUUUUGUCAGGGAAGAAAAGCUCUGGGCUAAUACCUCGGAGUGAUGACGGUACCUGAAGAAUAAGCACCGGCUAACUACGUGCCAGCAGCCGCGGUAAUACGUAGGGUGCGAGCGUUAAUCGGAAUUACUGGGCGUAAAGCGUGCGCAGGCGGUUGUGCAAGACAGAUGUGAAAUCCCCGGGCUUAACCUGGGAACUGCAUUUGUGACUGCACGGCUAGAGUGCGGCAGAGGGGGAUGGAAUUCCGCGUGUAGCAGUGAAAUGCGUAGAUAUGCGGAGGAACACCGAUGGCGAAGGCAGUCCCCUGGGCCUGCACUGACGCUCAUGCACGAAAGCGUGGGGAGCAAACAGGAUUAGAUACCCUGGUAGUCCACGCCCUAAACGAUGUCAACUGGUUGUUGGGGGAUUCAUUUUCCUCAGUAACGAAGCUAACGCGUGAAAUUGACCGCCCUGGGGAGUACGGCCCCCAAGGUUGAAAACUCAAAGGAAAUUGACGGGGGACCCGCCACAAGCCGGGGGAUGAAGGUGGUUUAAAUUCCGAUGCCAACGCCGAAAAAACCUUUACCUAACCCUUGAACAUGCCCAGGGAACCCCUGCCAGAAGAUGUUGGGGGGUGCUUCGAAAAGAAAAGCCUGGGACACAGGGUGCUGCCAUGGGCCCGUCCGUCCAGCCUCCGUGUCGUGAGAAUGUUUGGGGUUAAAGUUCCCCGCCAACGGAGCGCAAUCCCCUUUGCCCAUUAAGUUUGCUUACGGAAAGGGGCCACCUCUU